Molecule: small nuclear RNA, 86 nt
Filed under: Naja naja (Indian cobra)
Lineage: Eukaryota; Metazoa; Chordata; Lepidosauria; Squamata; Elapidae
Description: U2 spliceosomal RNA (ENSNNAG00000005225.1)
Rfam family: U2 spliceosomal RNA
About the family: U2 is a small nuclear RNA (snRNA) component of the spliceosome (involved in pre-mRNA splicing). Complementary binding between U2 snRNA (in an area lying towards the 5' end but 3' to hairpin I) and the branchpoint sequence (BPS) of the intron results the bulging out of an unpaired adenosine, on the BPS, which initiates a nucleophilic attack at the intronic 5' splice site, thus starting the first of two transesterification reactions that mediate splicing.
Source: Rfam by way of RNAcentral
AUCGCUUCUUGGCCUUUUGGCUAAGAUCAAGUGUAGUAUCUCCUUAUUUAAAAUAUUAAUUACUAAAUAAUCGAAUCAUAACUACU